RNAcentral lists this ribosomal RNA (411 nucleotides) under Triticum aestivum (bread wheat). RNAcentral describes it as "partial small subunit ribosomal RNA". Lineage: Eukaryota; Viridiplantae; Streptophyta; Magnoliopsida; Poales; Poaceae. The record is from RNAcentral.
AUGGAGAGCAUGUCUACCACCUCCGCCGCCAUGUCGCCCAGCACCAUGGGUGCACUUUCCACCACCUCCUCCUCCACCUUCGCCUCCUCAUCCACCACCACCACCACCACCACCGCAUCCCUUGGAUCACCACCACAGGAGAAGCUGAUGAGGGGGAAUUUUCUUCUCUGGAAGGCCGUCGUGCUGCCGCAGAUCAAAGGGGCACAUAUGGAGCAUCAUCUCGACGCGAAGAGCCCGGCACCACCGCCCACCCUCACCAUCACCAAGGACGGCAAGGAAGAGCAGAUCACCAACUUUGCAAACACCCUCUGGUAUGCACAACAACAGCAACUUCAAGGAUAUUUGAUGGGCUCUCUUUCUCGCGAUAUUCUUGCACAAGUCGCCACGUUACAGACGCCGGCCGAAGUUUAG